Molecule: non-coding RNA, 269 nt
Submitted as: unclassified sequences
Source: Rfam
UAAACGAGUUAUUGUUGCUCGGUGUUGUGUGUGAUACCUGGAAUUGGGUAGUGGCAUCCAGAGUGGUUGGUAGACUGCAUCCAUAGGCAUAGACCUAGGCGAGGGGAAACCCAGAGGAGCUCCUAGCUGAGUACGUCGCACACCAACGUGGCCAAUCCGGAGAAUGGGGUGAAACUCCUCUGAAAUACGGUGUUGCCUUCAUAUCACACGAAGCACAAACAAACUGAAACACUUUGGGUGUUGUCGACUCAGAGGCACAUUAAGUUUGA